UGGAUGUAACUCAGUGGUAGAGCAUUUGCCUGACAUGUGUGAGGGCCUGGGUCUAAUCCCCAGCACUCCAA
Molecule: transfer RNA, 71 nt
Filed under: Marmota monax (woodchuck)
Lineage: Eukaryota; Metazoa; Chordata; Mammalia; Rodentia; Sciuridae
Rfam family: tRNA
About the family: Transfer RNA (tRNA) molecules are approximately 80 nucleotides in length. Their secondary structure includes four short double-helical elements and three loops (D, anti-codon, and T loops).
Source: Rfam by way of RNAcentral